RNAcentral lists this long non-coding RNA (22411 nucleotides) under Marmota monax (woodchuck). The stretch from base 20891 to 20951 matches the Rfam family "tRNA", at positions 6 to 65 of the family's 71-position model. Lineage: Eukaryota; Metazoa; Chordata; Mammalia; Rodentia; Sciuridae. The record is from RNAcentral.
GCCAGGCCCCACCUCCCCUGCGGAGCCCUGGCUACUCACCCCAACGAUGUUCCUCUGCGACCUAGUCGCCCUCACAGACGCCUCUUCCGCUAGCUGCGCGCCCGCCUCGCAGCCACCGCCCCCUAAGUCGCUGCCGUCCUCGGUGCCGUCCUCGGUGUCGUCCUCGCUGCCGCCGCCGCCGCCGCGGCGCGCGUCCGAUUUCACGCACACCGCCGUGGCCGCGCACGCGCCUCUGCGCGCUGGCGUCACUUAGCAACCGACAGUUCUCGGGUGGGCUAACCGCCAGGGUUUAGGCCCCCAGGGGCCUCGGGCGGACUCUGCGGCUUUCCUCCACCGCCCAGACCCGCUGCCCCGGCUGAGCAAGGCCCCCCAGGGUGUGGCUACCCUGCGGGCACCUGGCUCCGGGUAAGUCACGUCACCACACGUCACUGUAUAGCGUCACCGGUGCGCGUCACUGCGGAGGGGAAGGUCCAGGGCACCUGUGGACUGAGCGAUGGCCUCGUCGGGACCGGCGCGGACCGGAUCGGCAAGUUCUUCCAGAUGCUGGAAAGUUCUCCAAGAGUGGGACCCGAAGGGGCUGAGUGACAUUCGUUAACUUAGCAGCAGGGUGUGAUGGCCCGAGCCUUGAAUUGCCAUGCCUCAGAGUCCUCGUUCUGUAAGUGGGAAUUAUAAUAUCCGUCCUGCCCACACUAGAAAGUUUUGAGGCUAAAACGGAAUAGUGUAUGCAGAGAUACUAUGUAAAGGAUGAAACACACUUCACUUUACUUUCUCAUGAGAAGACAGUAGCGCAAGAGAAGUGGAGAGUGUGGACUUUGCAUUCACUGAAAUCUGAAAGCAAAUUAGAUCUGAGCCUGGCUGAUAUUGGAGAAUCAGUUCCCCUUGGAAGUUACUUCCUUCUGGGCAUGGUGGGGGCCAAGGUGCAGGGAUCUGGGGAGACUAAUUAGGAAAGACUUAAUUCCAGGGAAAGGAGUAAAUGCAGGAAGUGAAAAUAGUCGGGAAAACCAAGGCUUGGACCAGGGAUACCCAGUUUGAGGCCAUUGCAGUCCUUCAGACAAGAAGUGUUGAGAACCUUAACUAAGGCAUUGGCAGUGGGAAUGCAGAGGAAGGGAACACUGUUUAGGUGGUACAAUUGCCAGCACUGGGUAGAGGAUAAAUGGAUAAUUCUAGUGUAGGUGCUGGAGUAGAUAGUGGUAAUAGUUAGCAAGAUGGGAAGAAAGAUGAGUCUGUAUUAUCCACAUGUGUCUAAUAUACUACAUAGUGACGAUGACCUGUGAAAUAGGAUGAUGAGUUCAGAUGUAGAUCUGUUUGUUUUGGAAACACUUAUUCCACUCUCCUUCCGCAGGGAGUAGCAUCCAUUAGUAUAAUACUUCUGGCUUCUCCCUGCCUGGAUCCCCAACUCACUCCUCCCUGGAAAAGUGAUUUCCUGAUUGAUGAACUUAAAAGGAGAAACAGUUCUCUCAAAAGAGAGUUGUCUUGGGCUGGGGUUGUGGUUCAGCUAGAGCACUAGCCUAGCUCAUGUGAGGCACUGAGUUCAUCCUCCGCACCACAUAAAAAUAAAUAAAUAAAGAUUAUUGUGUCCACCUAUACUAAAACAAAAUUAAAGAAAAGAGUUGCCUUCAGGGAACUGUUCUUGUGUUCUCUUCUCUCUUCUGCAGGGGCAAGGGCUAGUGGUAAAGUUUUCUAGGCCAGAGCUACAAAGCAAGUAAGCCUGUUUAUUUCCAGAGUAUAACAUAAGGAAACUGUCCACAGGUGAUAUCAGAUAUCUGCUUUGUCAAUUCUGUUAUACAGGAAAAUGGGCCCACAAUGGUGACUGCAUCCUAAUCUCCAGAACCUGUGAAUAUGUCACCUUGUGUGGCGAAAAGUCUUCAAAUACAGAGAGAUUAUACUGAAUGAAUGGCUGGGCUACAGGCAGAAAUGUCAGAAAAGGAGAAGGAAGCAAAGGUCAGAGAAACAGAUUUGAAAAUGCUUCACUAUCUACCUCCAAGAUAGAUCCAAGGAGGGCUAGGAGUGUAGCUCAGUGGUAGAGUGCUUGCCUCACCCAAGCGCAAGGACCUGGUUUUAAUUCUCGGGUGCAGGGAUUAGGGAUAUCCAAGGUAUACAGACAUCCCCCUGAAAAGGCAAGGAAAUGUAGUCUUCCCUGGAGUUCCCAGAAGGAGUACAGUCCUGUCAACACUUUGAUUUUAGGACUUCUGACCUCUAGAACUUUAAGAUAAUAAAUUUAUAUGGUUUUAAGCCACUAAGUUUGUAGUCAUGUGUUACAACAGUGGGAAGCUAGCAGUAAUGAAGAUGGCAGUUGGUUUCAUCUAGAAAAGAAGGGUACAAUUUAUUAAGGCCCCCUAUGAACUAUAAUAGUGUGAAUGUGACCUGAGGGAGGCAACCUCCACAUUUUAGAGGGAAAUGUCCAAUAAACAAAUUCUUCAGGUCUAUGAAUUAUGAAAGAACUCGGGUUAAAGUAAACCAGAUGUGGAGAACAUGAACUUAUAAUUGUUCAGUUAAUCCAUAGGCAUUGAUGAGAUGAAUCAGGGAGAAAAUAUAAAAUUGUAUUAGAUUCAUUUGCUUAUGAGAGCACACAUCAAAUCCCUCUCAGAUCAUUUCAAAAACCUUGAAAGUCAAUAUAUUGAUAUGCCAACUUCUGUCCAGAUUCUAUGACUGUCACACGGUUAUAGAAACUCAGAUUUUGGAGAGAAACACAUACGUAUAGUAGUUGCCAUAGUUAUUUUUCUUUUAAAAAUCAAGUAUAAAUAUAACUAUAAUGCAGUAUACCAGGUGCUAUAAUAGAAUAUGGACAAGGCAAAAUGAGGGUUAUAUAAAGUGAUUCAGAAAGGGACCAUUUCGUUCUGCCUAGUGAAGUCAGGAUAUUGAACGAAUUUCCUACACUGUCAGGUGGACACAGGACACCUCAAAAAUGGACAAGAAUAUAUGAAAGCAUGAGUAUGAAAAAAGCCAGGAGAGCUGUGCUAAGCCAGUGAUAUCACUUAACAUUCCUUCCAAGUAGUUUGGUUGUAAUCUGAAUGUUUAAUUUAAAAAAAAAUUUUUAAACUUAAUUUUUUUAAUUGAGAAAAUGGCCACAAAUGAGAGUUGAAUGCAAGAGUACUUUAUUUUUUCAUAAGCUCCAAGAGGAAACAUUCAUGGUUAUAAAUGCCAUGUUUUGGUAUUUUGCUUAUCUAAUCUUUAUACAUUGUCACAUUUAAUUUCUCAAGCAUUAGCUUAUUAUAUCAGCCAUUGACAUAGCUCAGUAUUAGCAAAUGGAAAGUAAAAUUUAAGUUAUUUGGCCAAGGUCAAAACUGUUAAGUAGCAGACUGAAAUUUAGACCUAGCACAGGUAUCCUCUCUCCAGAAAGCCUUCCCUUGAAUCCUUAGUUGAUUUAAGUGCCUGUCCUCUGACUAUGAGCAUAAUGUAUUUUCACUGUGGCAUUUACUUCAGUAACAGUGAUGCUUGCUGUGUGCCAAGUACAUAAUUCCUGUACCUGUUCUGUUACCUGAGUUUAAAUGUGCUAUGGGCAUUCACUCAUUUAAACUUUAUAACAGCCCUUAGAAGCACCAUAUAGAAAGACCACAGAGUGAUAGCAUAUACAACAACCCUACUGUUUAUCACAGUAUUUUAUAAAUGAAGGGCUUAGGAUGUGGCUCAGUGGGAGAGCACUUGCCUGGCAUGUUUAAGGCCCUGGGUUCGAUCCCCAGCACCAGGACCAAAAAAGAGGAAAGGCUAAAUAGUCACUCAGAGUCACUGCAGAAUUAAUAAGUGAUGGAGCCAGAUUCAGAUCUAGAUAGUUAGAUGCUAGAAUCUAUGCUCUUAACCUCCAUUCUGCUACCUGCAGACCAUGUAUCCUCUGCUUACAUGAGGGAUUCUAGAAAACAGCUCACAGAACUUACUGAUGUAUUUACUGUAGGGAUGUUGUAUGUGAUAUUUCUCUGUGGUCCUUCUAUAAAUGCAAGAGAAUUUUUUCUGAGUAAAAAGUCAUGAAAUAUUUGGCUACUCUUGAGUAAUAGAUGUUCUUUCUCUUCAUAAGCAAUAGGAUUAUAUAACAGGCUGUUCUUCCCUUUUUGCUUUGCUAAGAAGCUCUGCAUAAAUGUGUUGACUCAGUGUUUGUAACUGAGUGGCUUGUUCUGCAUACUGUGUUCUCUUUUUUUAUUACUCAGCCUUCCAUUGCUAUAACAAAAUAUCUGAGCUUAUCAUCUUAUAAAGAGAAAAUAUUUAUUUUGGCUCACAGUUUCAACCAAUGAUCAAUUGGCGCUAUUGUUUGGGGCCUAGACUGAGGCAGUAUAUAUGGCAGGGGUGUGUGGUGGAGCUAAACCACUUGCCUCAUGACCAGGAAGCAAAAAGAGAACAAGGAAGGCAUCAGGGUUCCCCAACGCCCUUCAAAGGCAUGCUUUCAGUGACCUAAAGACUUUCCACUCAGCCCCCCUCCUGAGGGUUCUACAUCUACCAAAAGUGCCACCCUGGGGACCAAAACUUUAGUACAUGGGCCUUCAGGGGACAUUCAAGAUCCAAACUACAGCAAUUGGUUUGAAAUUUCUCAAAAUAAAUAGUUGAAAAUAAUAAUCUAAACUUUUCUUAUUUCAUUUUUUUAUUUUUUUAAACAGAGAGAUAGAGAGAAUUUUUUAAUAUUUAUUUUUCAGUUAUCGGUGGACACAACAUCGAACCCGGGCCACACACAUGCCAGGCAAUCGCGCUACCGCUUGAGCCACCUCCCCAGCCCCUAAAUUUUUCUUAUUUUAAAAGUAGCAAACAUAAGCCUUGUUUUAAAAAGGAUAUGUGCAACUUUGAUGUUUUUUCAUGUUUUGAUAAUAAAAACUAGUUUGAGGUUAAAUUGAAUGUGUUAAGUAUAAAAUCUCAGUUCUUAAAAAACAAGACUACUGCAUGACCUUGAAAGUCCAGAUUAACUGAAUUGUUGGCCAGACAGAUCAGAAAGUAUUUCAAAUAGCAUAAAAUAGCCUAAUUGUGGCACUUCUAGUUUUUUACUUAUAUCUAAAUAAUUUGAAACCACUUUUGGGUUAUUUGUACACAUACUUUAGAGAUAAGAAGGUCCAUUAUCUUCUAUAUGCUGGUGAUAUUUUAUUAUGAUGAAUAAUAUUGUGAUGAAUAUAGUUGAUCUUAUUGCUUACUGUUUAUCAGAAAGAAUGAAUUAAGACCUGUUCCAAAACUAAAACUAUUAACAUGUCCUUGGAUUUAAUUGACUCAGAUCCAAUAACUAAAACCCAGGUUAAGUUCUUUACUUAAUGGUAUGUUUUGCAAGUAAUUCUUCAGGUAGAUUUACUGGCAGUUGUUUUGAUAAAAGCCAUAUAUUUCAGGACAGCACUAUUCAGGUUUUUCUAUAGUCGGAAUGAGAAACUAAAAAUUUCUUCUUUGAAAAUAUUUUAGUGCACAUUCUCAUCAUUCUUCAACAGGGCAUUUGAAUGUCCAGCAGCCCAGGCCGGUGGGCAAGUGCUCUGUACUCAUUGUUGCUGUGUCAUAUAAUAAUAGAAGCUUCCAGCUGCUGCAGUUGUAACUCAGUGGUAGAGCACUUGCCUAACACAUGUGAGGCACUGGGUUAAAUACCACAUAAAAAUAAAUAAAAUAAAGGUAUUGUGUCCAUCUGCAACUAAAAGAAGAAGGAGAAAGAGAGGAAGAAGAGGAGGAGGAGGAAGCACCCAUGGAUGCCAGACUUGAAAUCAGUUGAUCUCUAAAUAUUGGUAACUUAUGUAAACUUGAAAAAAGAAAAAAAAAAGUUUGAGUUUGCAGGCUUACUGCUUUAUGGAUUAGAACUUAAUGGUCUUCAACAUUUGCUUUAUUCUUAUUUGCAAAAAGAGUUGAUUUUAAAGGAAAAUCCUGGAUUACCUGGGAGAGGAGGAGCUCCCUCUAUCUUCUACCAUAUGUUCCUAUUAAGAGGACAGUCUUAAUGAGGUGACUCACUCUUCACAAAAGGCAGUGAACACCCUACCAUCUGCUGAUCUCAUUACUGAAGUCUGAGCAAUAUGUAUCUGCCUUCAGCCACACAAUAGGAACCAGUCCAUCAGAAAACUGCAUACUUAGCCAUAUUGUCCUGAGUUCACAUAUUCAGAAACCUUCUCAUCCCCUUUCUAGAGUGUUCUGUUGACUUGUUUGAGUCUUGGCUUCUUCUGCUUAUAUUAAGAAAUUGUAGAAGGAAGGAACAGUUUCACAAAACCCACUAGUACCUUUCCUGUAAAGGUGUUUCUCUGCACUUGAUCACUUUAUGUUGCUUAUCAGAAAUGCCACAAGAGAAUUUUUUUUCAGAGCCAAGUAUUAUGAAAUGCCUGGUUAUCCUUGUGUAACUGAUGUAUAUUCCUUACAGACAAGUGAAUGUGUAACUGAAUUUGUUUCCCUUUUCACCUUGGCUACCACAAAACUCUGACCUAAAUUUGUAGCUCAACUUCAGUUCCUGGGUAGAACCUGUGCCUACAUAUCUGCAUUCUAAUCUGUUCCCUGGUCUGAAUUUUCUGUUUAAAUUUGGGGUAUCUCUUGCUCUGAUUUAUCUAUUAUUUUAAAAUUCUGUGUGAAAUUGCACUGGUCAUCUCAAAUUAUAGAAAAAGCUGGGGAAUGAAUGGUAAAUAUGCCUAUAACUUUCUUAUGCCUAAUUGUUUGCCCUCCGUUCAGGCAGGAGUUAAACACUCUUCCAUGCUGACAAAAAUGUUUCUUUAUGAGUUCUCCAGGGUUUAUAAGAGAUAAAUAAGAGAACAAUGAAUUACUUUCAAAGGAUUCUUAAUGUUAUUGCAACUCUGAAGAAUGUCAUUCUUUAACUUUGAUAUUUUUCCCCCUUUGGAGGAAGAUGGAUGGGUGAAAUAAUGAUUGACAAGCUUAAGUUGGAAACUUCAGGUCCCAAGUUCUUUAAUCAUAUAAUUUUCUCAGUUCUUUCAAUAUUCUCUUCUGGUAGGCCUGGAUUUAAAGAAUUAGCCUCUGUAUAAUUUAAGUCAUAUUCUUUGUUUUAACCUCCUUUCUACCUCACAUAUUAGUGAUCCCAUUGUAUUUGCUAGUAUAUGUCCACAUAUACACUUUAUUUUUUUUUCACAUACACACUUUAACUGAAGGUACAUGGAAGGGCUAAAGGCAGUGUUCAUUGUUGUCUUAAUACAUCUUUUAUAUUUGGGUAUCUGAUGGCUGAAAGUUAAUUGAAUGUGAUGACCAUUUUUACACAUCAUCAUCAUAUGCCAAUCUAUGAUUUAUUAUUUUAAUUCUGUUGUUACUUGAGAAAAAGACAAUAAAGCUGCUUUGUAAAUGUAAGGUAAACAUUAAAAUAUUUCACAAUUUCCUGUAAUCCUGUUUGGGCAUUUCUUCAUUUUUUUUUCCUUUUUUUUAAUAUUUUUUAGUUUUAGGUGAACACAAUAUCUUUAUUUUAUUUUUAUGUGGUGCUGAGAAACAAACCCAGUGCCUCACACAUGCUAGGUGAGUGCGCUACCACUUGAGCCACAUCCCCAGCCCCCAUUUCUUCAUUUCGUGAUAUGCCAAGAACGUAAAAAAAUGGAAAUAGCCUACACUUGUUUCCUAUUUCGGUUUUCAUUUACUGGGUCACUUUGAUCUAGGCACUGAGGAGAUAUAUAAAGAUCAGUUUUUGUACUAAAGGAACUAACAGUCUGAACUUCACUGUCCCAUGUUAGCCUCUGUCCACAUUUGGCUAUUUAAAUAUCUAUUUAUUUAUUUUUAGUUGUAGUUGGACACAAAACCUUCAUUUUAUGUAUUUAUUUAUUUGUUUUUAUGUGGUGCUGAGGAUCGAACCCAGGACCUUGCUCGUGCUAAGCGGACGCUCUACUGCUAAGUCACAACCCUAGCCCCCACAUGUGGCUAUAUAAAAUUAAGUUAAAAAUUCAGUUCCUCAGCCAUACUAAACACAUUUCAUGAACUCAGUAGCCACAAUAGCUACUGUGUUAAACAAUGCAUGUAUAGAACACUUCUCUCAUUGCAGAAAAGUUCUGUUGGAUUGCCCUAGUCCAAGGCCGUGUGAGAAUCAUAUGGUAGAGCAAAAUAAAUUCAGAUGGAGAAAAAUCAUGUAUAAAGUGUGCAGAAGAAUGACUUUGGGCAUGUCGAUGCCUACUGCCAGAGAGCCUCAUUUCCUGGGUGGCACGGGAGUCUAUAUUUUUAACAAACAUCCCAUAUUUUGAUGGAGGAGGUAUGUGGGCUACUUGAAAAAAUCAAGGUCAGGUAAGUGGAAAGGUAUUUUGGGUUCUCAGGUUUGUUUAUAUGGGAAUAGGAAGGAGAAGUUCUAUUCUAGUUUGAUGGAAGGAAAGUAAAAUCAAAGACCAACUGAAAGACUAGAGAAGGGUUUCUAAAACCUUUGACAGAAAAAGGGGUAAGGCAAAUAAUCCAAAAGAAAAAAUGGGCAAGGAACUAAACAAGCCUUACAUAAACUGGAAAAUACAAAUUGCUUAAAAAUAUGACAGUUUUACUUGUCCUGAGGAAAACUCAAAUCAAAUGGCGGAGUGAGUUUUCACACCUUUCUUGGAAAGUAAUCUGUUGCCAUCUCCUAUAAUUAAAAAUGCACUUACUCAUAGAUCUUCCAAAGAGUGUAUUCUCCUUUCUUCACAAAAAAAAAAAAAAAAUCCCAGCAUGCUAAACACAUACAUGUAAGGACAUUUAAUGUAGCACUAUUUGCAAUAAAAAAUUAGAAACAUAAUAGGGGAAUGAAGAAUGAAUUAUGAAACAUCCAAACAUGUAAUAUAUUAGUUAUUUGAAAGAAUGACAUCUAUAAAUAUUGACCUGUAAUGAUGUAAUGUGAUAAAUUACUAAGAGUAGAAAAGCAUGAUGUCAUCUUUGUAGAAAAAAAUAAAGGAAAAUGUGUUUGUUUCCUAUGAUUACCAUAACAAACUGCCAUGUGCUUCAUGGCCCAAAACUAAACAUAUUUAUUCUCUUGCAGUUAUAAAUGACUAGAAACCCAAAGUCCCAGAUUUGCUGGGCCAAAAUCAAAGUAAGUCCACCCUCUCUCCACAGGUUAUGGGGAGAAUCCAUUCCCUGCCUCUUCCAGCUUCUGGUUUCUGCCAGCAUCCCUUGACUUGUGGUCAUAUCACUCAUCUCUGCAUUUGUCAUCAUAUCACCUUUUCCUAUUCUGUGUCAAAUUGUUCUCUACCUCUUCCUUACAAGAGGACACUUAUGAUUUGCAUUAGUAUCCACCAGGAUUAUCUCCCAUGUCACACUCAUUAGUUACAUCAGCAGUGAUCCUUUAUGCAUAUAAGACAACAUUCACAGGUUCCAGACAUUAGGAUCUGGAUGUCUUUGGGGACCAUUUUUCAGCCUACCACAACAUGUUUGUAAACUUAAGAAUAAUGUCAAAGGAUACCAAAUUGUUAGCAUUAGUUUCUUUAAGGUGGAGAAGAAAUUAACUUUUUUUUUAGUAUAUACUUUGAUUUAUUAAAAAUAAAGUUGUGGGGCCAGACAUGGUGGCGCAUGCCUGUAAGCCCAGCAGCUCAGGAGGCUGAGGCAGGAGAAUCCCAAGUUCAAAACCAGCCUAGCAAGGUCCUACACAACUAGUAAGACCCUAUCGCAAAAAAAUAAAAUGGGCUGGGGAUGUGGCUCAGUGAUUAAGCACCUCUAGGAUCAAUCCCUAGUACAAAAAACUUCUGGGGCUGGAAAUGUAGUUCAUUGGUAGAGUGCUUGCUUACCAUGUGGAAGGCUCUGUGUUUGAUACACAGCACCACCAAAAAUGAUAUAACAAAGUAGAAGUAAAAGAAGAGCAAAAUUUUCAGGUAAAUACAAAUAAAGAAGCAAAGGUGGUAAUAUUAAUUUCAGGUAUAGUGGAAUCCAAGAUGACAUAUGUUUCUUAGAAUUGGAUGUGCCAGAUAGACUAAUAAUAAUAUCAAGUUGGUGGAUUUUAGUUAAACCUUCAAUGAACUUGAUUUAAUAACAAAGUAACAUACUUGUUCAAGAAAAAUUCACAAAAAUCAGUCAUAUACUGUUCACAAAGAAAAUUUCAAAAAGAAGAAAAAAUACAGUUUGCUUAGUGUGGUGGUGCACACCUGUAAUCCCAAAAGCUUGGGAGACUGAGACGAGAGGAUCGUGAGUUCAAAGUCAGCCUCAGCAAUUUAGCAAGUCCCUAAGCAACUCAGCAAAACUAUGUCUCUAAAUAAAAUACAAAGAAGGGCUGGGAAUGUGGCUCAGUGGUUAAGUACCUCUGGGUUCAAUCCUCAGUCCAAAAAAAAAGAUACAGUUUAUGUUCUCUAGCCACAAGGCAAUAAAACUAGAAUUAAUAGUUUAAAAGCUACCAAGAACUGGAGAGAUAUAGCUCAUUGGUACACUAGAAACAGUACGCAUGGGUUCAAUCCCUACCACUCCUCACCAAGCAAAAAAGCAAAAUAAAAUUCAUCUUUUUAAGCUAAUGAGGAAAUAAAAAUUGAACUUAUAAAAGAAGAGUCGUGGGUGCCUUACAUACAAAAGCUGUCUUAUGCCAGGCAUGGUGGCACAGAAAGCUGAGCUAGGAGGAUGGAAAGUUCAAGGCCAACCUGGACAAUUUAGCAAGACCCUGACUCAAAGUGAAAAGGGCUUGGGAUAUAGCUCAGUGGUAGAGCACUUGACUAGCAUGUGUGAGGCCUUGGAUUCAAUCCCUAGUACUGCAAAGAAAAGAAACUGUCUUAUGUGAUCAAAACAAUUCUCAGACAAGAAUGUUUACAUGUACUUUUGAGAUAAAUAUUAUAAAUAAUUGAAUUCAUCAUUCCACUAAAAGUUAGGAAGAAAAAGAAAACCAAGAUAAACUAAGAAAUUGGGAGGGAAGGGAAAAUGUAGAAGUGUACCAGUCAGUUAUAGCCACAAAAUGCUGCAUAACAAAAUCUCAGUAGCAUGCAACAAGAGGCCAUUGUGCAUUCUAGAGCCCAGGCAGGAAGGGCAGCGGAUCAGGGAGCAUGUUGUUCAGGUGGUGAUGGCAUUAGCACAGAGCACAAGCCCUGUUUCACAUCCCGUCUCUGCGCAGGCCACACCUGCCCUCAUCAAACCCCACCACUCUCCUCCUCUCUCCACUGUAAUCAUUUUGGCCCUUGAUUACUCCCUCUGCAGAAUGCUUUUCCUCAAUAUAUUCAUUCCCAUACUACCUCACUUUCUUCAGGUUACUGCUUCAGUGUCACUUGUCUCACCAACAUAUAGCCAAUAGCACACUACUUGCAUUCCAUUUUUCUCCACAGCAGCACUUGUCAAUAUGUCACAUACACACACUAAUUUACCUAUUGUCUUCUUCACUGGAAUAUAAGAUUUGUGAAUUUGGGACUAUUUUAUCCACUGCCAUGUCCCCAGCCCUUUUAAGAGUAACCAGCACAUAGUAGACCCUAAUUAAAAGCUUAUUAGUGAAUAAAUAAUUAUAUCAAAAUGGAUUCUGUUAUACAUAACUAAAAAGAUGUGAUAAAAAAAGAAACCAGUUCAUACCAAUCUGAUGGCAAAGAUGUAAAGCUUGAUCUUUUCUGUUGUUGAUACGUUUGUGGAACUUGAACUUUUAAACACAGUUGGUAGACAUGUACACUGCAUAGUGUAACCGCUUGCAGAGGCUGCUUAUUAUUUCCAAGAACUGUUCUCCCUUUCUUCCCAAUAGGAUUCACUAGGUAUGAUUUGUGUUGUCACCCAGAAUAAAGAUUCUCCUGCAGCUAAAUGUAAUACCAUUCGGGCCAAUGGUAUAUACUUGGAAAUCUUUCUUUUCUUCUUCUUCCUUCUUGCUGGCCAGAAUGUGUCCAUGAUGGUGAAGCCAUACUGCAAUGGGAGAUGAAAGAUGCCUUGCUGAGAAUGGUGGCACAGCAAGGGUGAAGUCUUCCGGGUCCCUGAGGAGUUUGCAAAGCUACCCUGCCCCUGCCUGCUUCCUCCAGAAUGAUAUGAGAAAGAAGUGUGCUGCUUUAUUCUUUUUUUCAUUCUUUUUUCUCCCCCUUUCAUGGUACUGGGGAUUGUACCUAGAGCCUCGCACAUGUUAGGCACGCACUCCACCUCUGAGUUACGGCUGCAGCCCAUGUUUUAUUUUUAAUUUUUUUAUUUGUUCUAAUUAGUUAUACAUGACAGUAGAAUGCAUUUUGACACAUCAUACACAAGUGGAGUGUAACUUCUCAUUCUUCUGGGUGGUAUAUGAUAUAGAGUUUCACAGGUCAUGUAAUCAUAUAUGCCCAUAGGGCCAUGUUUUUAAAUUUUAUUUUGAGACAGGAUCUCACUAUGUUGCCCAGGCUGACCUCAAACUUGCAAUCCUCCUGCCUCAGCUUCUCUUCAGCUGGGAUAAGAGGCAUGUAGCCCCAUGCCCAACUGUGUUGCUAUUUUUUAAGCCACUGUUAUUUUGAACUUAGUAUCACUUGCAACUAAAUCCAGUUCUAAAAGAUAAAAUCACUUUGGGAAAUAAUUUAGCAUUACAUAAUGAGCUGAAUAUGGCAUAUGCCAAGAUCCAGAAAUUUUACUUGUAGGUGUAAUACCUAGAUAUAACCCUAGAAAAGUCUGUCCCAUGAACAUGUGUACAAAACAUUCAUAGUAGUGUAACCUCUAAUAAGAAAGAUAGGAAAACUCUUCAACAUCUAGUAACAGAAAAAUGAAUAAACACUGCACAAGAUGGAAUAUGUAUCAACAUGGAUUAACCUUACAAUAUAAUGUUGAAUUAAAAAGCAAGCUAUAUAUGAUUCUUAUAUUAUGAAUUUUAAAUCCAAACAAUACUAUAUAUUGCUAAGAGAAUAUAUUUCAUUUUGACAUGAACCUAAAGCGUUUUCUUACUUAUUUUUUCCACCUUAAGAUCAUCUCCUUGGUAUAAAAAAAAAAAAGCCUUUUGUUUUUGUUUGAGGUCUAACACAUAUGAAGUAUUUCCUUUAUUUUCCCAUCAAUGUUGCAAGAGGUUUGGCUUUUUUAAAAUUUUUAGUAGUUGUAGGUGGACAGAAUGCCUUUAUUUUAUUUGUUUAUUUUUUGCGGUGCUAAGGAUGAAACCUCAUGCCUCACACAGGCUAGGCAAGUACUCUGCCAACUGAGCUACAGCCCCAGCCCUAAAAUGUACAAAUAACUAUUAUGCAGCAUUUUGGAUUUUCACAAAGCAAACCCAGGUCAAGAAAUAGAAUGUCACUAGCACACCAGACACCACCACCCCACGAUUAUACUGGAGGGAAGAGACUUUUAUUCAGUGGUUAGGAAGGAGUUGCACUCUCUGCCAGAGAUAAAUCAAAAAGCAUUUAACCCUAAAUUGUUACUAGCAGCCAUCCCCAAACUAAGAGGGAUACCAGUUGUAGGAUAAAAACAAUAUUGGAGUUCAGAGUGAAGAGACAGAAAGAGGCUGAGACCCUUUGAUGAUGUUGUUUGGAUUAUAUUAACUGAAACUGAACUGUAUUUGCUUCUGUACCCCAGGUAGAUGAGACUUUAAUUUCCUCAUUAUUUAAAUCUGCUUAAAUUGAAUUUUCUUUUCUUCCCACCAGAAGAAUUCUAUCUGAUACAAACAGGUUAAAAUCUACCACUGUUUCAUUUCAAUGAUUUAGGUUAGAACUUGAAAUGGCUAGCAUUUCAAAAGUUCAAAAUUGACUGAGCCUGACAUUCUUUUCUUUCACUUGAUGAUUAUUAUUAGAGAAAUAAUAAUAGUUAACACUGACUGCUUAUUACCUGGAUGAAAGUGUUCUAAGCAUUUUUACAAAGAUCCCAUGAGGUAUGGAAUGCUGUUGUCAUCCUUAUACAGAUGAGGCUUAACCCUAGGCCAUUUCAAAAAGAAGACAAGAGAAUAUUCCAGGGCUGUGCUGUCCAUUACAGUAGGCACCUAGGGCCAUCAAACACUUGAGAUGUGGUGUGCAUGUAGUGUUGGGCACGCCAGGUGCCAAAGGCUUUAUACAAAUAAAGGAAUAUAGAACGCCUCAUUGAUGAGUAUACUAUAUUGAUUGUCUAUUGAGAAUAUUUUGCAUAUAUGGUAUUAAGGCAUGUGAUGAAAAUUAACUCAUUUAUGUGGCUUCUAAAGAUGUUUAAUUAGGGCUGGGGUUGUGGCUCAGCUGUAGAGCGCUCGCCUAACAUGUGCAAGGCCCUGGGUUCGAUCCUCAGUACCACAUAAAAAUAAAUAAGUAAAAUAAAGGUAUUGUGUCCAACUACAACUAAAAAAUAUUUAAAAAAUAAAAAUGUUUAAUUACACAUGUGGCUUAUAUUCUAUUUCUGUUGGACAGCACUACUCUGGUGCAGUGGUUGUCACAGUGUCCUGGACCAUUAGCAGCAGCAGCACUUAGGAAUUUGUUAGAAAUGCAAGUUUCUAAUAAAUCAGAAAUUCCAAGUCAGAUACCUAUUGAAUCAGAACUACUGAAUCAGAAACUCUGGGGAUAAGGCCCAGAAGUCUGUAUUUUACAAGCCCUCCAUGGGAGUCUUCUUUGUUUCCUAACUGCUUUAUUGGAUAUGUCUCUUAUUCAAAGUGCACCGUUUAGUGGUUUUAGUGUGCCCACAGAGUUAUGCAAAUACCACCACAUUCUAUUUUCAUCACAACGAAAAGAAAUCUGUUCCCAUUCUCAGUCACUCCUCGUUCCCCAUGCUGUCAUCCCAGCCCCAGGCAACAACUCAUCUGCUUUCCCCUCCAUGGAUUUGCUCUUCCUGACGGUUCCUAGAAAUGGAAGCACACAGUAUGCAGUCCUUUAGGACCGGCUUCCCUCACUAAGCACCAUGUGUUCCUCCGUGGAUUCUGAUAUGCUGAUGUCUGAAAACUGCUGCUUUAGGGUAGAAAUGGAAAAGACAAAGUCAGAAAGAGUGUGAAAAGUCAAGGGUAUAAAGAAAAAUGCCCAGAUGAUGAGAGAAAACAAAUGAGACCAGGAGAACAUAAAUAGCAAACAAUGAAAGGUAGUUUUUUCCAUGUGGAAAAAGCUACCAAUCUUGUUCCCAAAGUCUAAGAAGACUGACACUGAAACCAGGUAUAACCGUACUCUAUAUUUCUAUGUUGCCUCUGCUUUAAUCUUUUUAUCUCCUCAAAUAAUUUUAUCGAAGAGAUGAUAAUUAAGGCCAUGAAAAUAGGUGACAUUACCAAAGGAGGAAGAGUCUCUAUAGAAAGAAAAGAGCAGAAUAUAGAGGGGGAGGUCUUUCCUUCCAGCACAGUGUGCAAAAUAGUUCACAUUCUUUCCCCCCCUUGAGUCCACCAGUAACCCUGGGAGGAAGUAAAGUGAGUGUCACUGUGCUAAUGCCCACUCAGUGCUUGAGCCAAGGUUUGGAGGUUGAUCUUCUGCCCUGAGGCAGCUCCUUUUCUUCUUUACUCAGUCUUUCUCAGUUAUAUAUAAAAGAGAAAAUGGAGACAAAAGAAAUAGUCAGGAAUGUAGGAUUAGAACAAGGUAAGGAGCCAGGUAAGGUGGCUACAUCUGUAAUUCCAGCAGCUUGGGAGGCUGAAGCAGAGGAUACCAAGUUCAAAGCCAACCACAGCAACUCAGAGAGACCCUGUCUCUAAACUUAAAAAAUGGAAAGGGCUAAGGAUGUGGCUCAGUAGUUAAGUGGCCCUAGGAUCAAUCCCUGGUACCUGCCCCCACAAGUACCCCCCCCAUUCCCCCAACCCCCCACCCCCACACACACAAAAAAAAUAGUUGAGAACAGUUUCAUGGAAACAAAGGGAGGAGUGUUUCAAGGAGGCCAAUCUUACUUGCUCCCUUGAAUUGAAAAACAGUCUUUUAAUGAACAGGGUGCGUUACUGCCAGCCAUACUUUGCAGUAAAGAGCUGUCAACAUGAACAACCUAGGAAAACAUGUUUUGCCUUUGUUUUAACCUACAAAGUGUUCCUCUAGUCACUAUUUCCCAUUUCUGUAGUUUAAUUUAAAUUUUUUUUCUGUUUUUAAUUUAAGUCUAUCAGACAUACAGUAAGACCCACAAAUAAUCAUACAGCUUGUUGAAUUUUCACACAAUGUGCCCAGGUCAAAAAACAGCACAUUGCCAGCAUCCCAGAAACCCCCUAUGCUUCCUCCAAUUAUUAUCUUUCCCUUGUGCCCCAAAUAACUGUUUUCCUGACUUUUAAUAUAGUUGAUUAUUUUGAGAAGUAAGCAUGAUAGAGUGGAUAUACAGCUUAUGUAUGAUCAGAAUGUCAGGUCAGUGGUGGCAACUUAGAACAAAGCAGCCAGGGAGGGAAAGAAAUAUCAAUCAGGCGCCAAGGAAAAGCCUGUCAAUCAGCGGGAUCUCCUGACUAACAUGUGUCAAUCAGCAGGACUCCCUGGCCAAUCCUGGAGUUCAGCCAGCACCCCUGACCAACUCCAAAGGGACAAGGGACUCUAAGCUCCGUCGGCUCCUAUGCGGUUUCUCCUCAGAACCUUCUCCUGUCCACUCUGUGGGUCUGAUCUAGUUCCACCCGGGAGUGAUAUCUCAAUAAAGCCUCGUUGGGCGGCCUUUUUAAAUCUGCCUCCUUUGGUCUCUGCCCGCCUUGCCUGAUCUUACAGAAAACCCACCAACUGACUACAUCCCACAGGAAGGCCUCUAAGACACUCAACCCAAACAAUAAAGAGUGCCAAUGACAAGAACAUCGAAAUCUCCACAUUAGCUCUGUAUUCUCUAGAGCUGACAUUAGGAGAUGCUGUUAUAGAACUAAACUGCCUGAUAGUAACAGGGAUGAAAGGGCCCAACACAAUAGAGGCCAUGCCCUUAACCUUCAGAAACAAGGUGGGUGUAAGGUUGGGGUGUCAGUCAGUGAGGGGAGAGGCUCAUCUGGAGAGAACUGUAGAGGAGAUUAAUAAAACCUGCACUCCCCAAGGUCAGUAGAUGAGCAGCCAACAAGCGUACUGCUCAAUCUAUGCUAUCAAAAGAAAUCAAAGUUGGAUAGUGAAAAAGCUGAGUACCAUUGAUCCAAUAAUUUUUAAAAAACCACAAGUCUCUGCCCAAUUUCCACACCUGAACUUGUUUUUCACACCCAGAAUCCACUGAGAUUGGGUUUCCAGGAAGAAUGACACCACAGCAAAGCGAAUCAGUAAUGAUCUCCUCCAGGUCUUCCCUGGAGGGACGACAUUCUCUUGCUAGGGUAACCAUACACUGCUCCCAGUUACCCACUUGGGACUUUGGUACUUCCUGUUGCAACAGCUCCAGGCUCUGUUUAUACACAAAACUAAGAAGAACACGGAUACUUCGUACAGUGGUUCUCAAAGUGUGGUCCAGUGGUAGCAAUAGCAUCACCAGGGAACUUGUUAGAAAUGCUCACCAUAGAACCUACCCCAGACAUAUUGAAUCAGAGUAGGGCCCAGACACUUGUUUUGACAAGUGUCUCCAGGUGAUUCUGAUGCAUAUUCUGUUUUGAGAACCACAGAUUUAGAGGUGAAUGCUUCAAACUAUUCCAUCAAAUGCUCUGACUUACCACUAAUAGCUCCCAAAUAGGGUGCUUUACUUUUUUAGGGGGGUGGUCCAAUACCAGGGAUUGAACUCAGGGGCACUCAACCAUUGAGCAACAUCCCCAGCCCUAUUUUGUAUUUUAUUUAGAGACAGGGUCUCACUGAGUUGCUUAGUAACACGCUGUUGCUGAGGAUGACUUUGAAUUCAUGAUCCUCCUGUCUCAGCCUCCCCAGCUGCUGGGAUUACAGGUAUGCACCAAUGAGCCCUGUCAAAAGGGUGCUAUUAAACCUACUUUACUCCUGUAGGUAUUCUGCUUCUUGUUUUCUAGCUGUUUUGUGCAGUUUGCCUCCAAAAAUUCUAAUUUUUCUUGAUAAAGGAUCUAUCUCAUAUUUUUAGCCUUCUUGUUCUAAAAGGACAUUUAACAUGACUGUGUGUUAAAUCCUUAUAUCCUAUAACUCAUGUGACAUGGUAUUUAAAAAUAUUAAUUUACCUCCCUGCAUUUCUUUGUAACCCAUGGCCCCAUCCCCAUCAGGCAGCUAGACCCUGGGCCCAGGGAUGGUAUAAUAGAAAAAAGGCUCUUGACUUUCAAAACUCUGAACCUUGAUAUUCUUUGGCUUGUGGGAAGGGGAGUCAGGACAGAGGGCUCUUCAGUGAGUCCCUGUGAAGAGGCCUCACCUUUCUCUCACUUAGUGAUUAAGAUAAACCACAAAAUCCUUAGAUAAAGGUAUCUGGGGAUCUAGAAGGAGAGGGGGCUUGUAUUUGGCCUCCCAGGUAUACCUCCUGGAGUCAGCAAGACCCCUGAGAAGCAAUGGCUAAAGAAAUAUCUGUGAGAUAGGACCUUAUAUAAAUCUCAUAGAAUUAAUUUCCCAUGGAAUAGCAAAGGGUUGUGGAGAAGUCUUAGCCACAAAGAUCUCUUUAAAGGCCAACAUGGUAUGGAAAUAGUGAAGCAGAAGGGAGGUGCCAGCAAUAAGGAGUCAGUAAUAAUAGUUAACGAUGGUAUCAAGCCAGGAGGGAAACCACAUAUGGGGGACAGAAAUCAGAAAACAAGCAAAUAGCAAAGGGAAGUGGCUUUUCUGUCAUAUCUACUGGUAGGCAGGAACUUAGUCUCUUGAUGCCAUCACAUGUAGAGGUGGGACUUGAGUGGCGCCUGCGCACCUCUUCAUCGUGCUUCUUCAUGUGUUGUCUGUCUCCUUACCAUCUUAAAUCUCCACCUAGGGCUGUGCAUUUUACUAUGCUAAUAAGGUGAAGGUUAUUGGGUUACUUUGGUGAGAGUCUACACAUGGGUUUGCCCCUCACUACCUGAAUUGACCUUCUCAUCUGAGGUUUUUAAUAUUAUUUUAUUCAGACCUGGCAUUUCUGCUGACCACAUAACCUCCCAGCCUUCCAUCUCCUGGCAUUAUCAUUCCCAUGAACUUGGAGACUGGUGCACCCCUAACUCCUAAUUCUCUGGUACAGCUGUUAACCCUGUAAAACUGAGAGCUAGCUUGGCUGUAUUACUUCCCCUGAAAGGUUUUACCCCUCACUCCUAAAGGAGGUCCUGUCUUUCAUGGAGCCCCUGACUGUCAUUUUAGCAAAUGCUAGUGGGAUGGUUCACCUAGGAAGACUACAUGCUUACCUUCCUCCACCUUCAAGAAUUUAAGAUUUUCCCCCAGAGGAAAGUAGCAGGAGAGAUCCUGUAUUUACUGAAACUUGGUUUUUAACCCUCAAAAAAUAGGGAGCUUUAUGUAUGAUUAGAAUAAAGAAAAUUCCUGCUUCUUACACUCUUGUGUUUGUGGAUUAGACACACCACCUGUAAUUCAUUGCUACAAAUAAUAUGUUUCACUAUGUAAUACUGGGAGAAACGAAUUUGUAUUUUUGGAGGUAAACAUUUUUGCUGAUGCCGGUGAUAGGAGUCUGUAAAAAGUGCUUCUCAAACUUUAUUGUCCAUAUCUAUCACCUGGAGAUUCUAUGAAAAAUACAGAUUUCUGAUUCAGUAAGGCAGAGGUGAAGACUGAAAUUCUUAAUUUUCAAUCAGCUCCAAGGUGAUGGUGAUGCUACUGGUACAGCAGCUACCUUGAAGUAGGGAGGCUGUCUAAAAUACUGGUAAGAUGACUAUGUUAUGUAGGUUUUUGAUACAUGUUAGCUACAUUUUCUUAAAUAAAAUAUAGUUUGGUAGGGUGGUGGCUACCAAAUUGUAACAAAAGAAAGUUUCUUCAGAAUUAGUCAACUAAGAGCUGGAAAUGUGGAAAAAAUAUAAUGCUGGGGCUGGAGUUGUGGCUCAGCGGUAGAGCAUUCGCCUUGCAUGCAAGGGGGUUUGAUCCUCAGCACCACGUAAAAAUAAAUAUAAGUGAAAUAAAGGUAUUGUGUCCAACUACAGCUAAAAAAUAAAUAUUAUAUAGAUAUAAUGCCAACUUUAUGGGUUUUACAUGUUUCAUUCAACUUUUGUAAUAUUUAAACAUUAUGUUUAAACCAUUAAACAAAUUUUGAAUGUCAAUUGAACUUGGUCAUGAGAAUUGUAAGUCUUGUAAGAGUUUUUGAACACCUUAAUAUAAAUGUAUCUUCCAAUUUUUAAUAUUAUCAUCCUGAACAGACAUGUGAGUGGCAGACAAAAUGCAUAUUUGUUAACAUAUAUAAUUUAAAUCAAAAGGUAAAUAAUAUAAAUGUUAGCAUAUUAAACAAUAUUUCUUAUCAAUUUUUCAGAUUAUAAAAAUGAUACUUGACCAUUUUAAAGAAUUUGGAAAAUACAGAAAAAUACCAGGAAAGAAAUAAAAUCUUUGGUAAUCUCAGCAGCCAGGGUUAACCACAACAACUUGGUAUUUUCCCUCCAAGUAUUUUUUUUUUCUUUUUUUUUUUUUUGGUACUAGGGAUUGAAGCCAGAGAUGCUUAAUCACUGAGAUACACCCCCAGCCCUUUUAAAAAAAUAUUUUACUUAUAGGGUCUCACUAAGUUGCUUAGGGUCUCGCUAAAUUGCUGAGGCUAGCUUUGAGCUCGCCAUUUUCCUGCCUCAGCCUCCUGAGCCGCUGAGAUUAAGGGUACAAUGCUUUUUUUCAUUUCCUGUCUCAGGUGCAGUUUGCUAUGUUUUUAAGUGUUCUUUGAAGGCACAGGUGUUUAAAUAGAGUUUUAAAUAGUGUUUAAAUCAAGCACAAAGUGCUUAAGUCAUGUUAGAAUAGAUGAUAUUCUAUUAUUAUGGGUACUAUGAAUGUUAACUAUUUCUCCAUUUGGGGCUUUUAUUUCUAAUUUUUUGUUGCUAGAAAAUAACACAAGCAACACAUUGUAUAUAUUUUAGACAUUGAAAUCUGACUAUUUUCUAGGAAACAGAAUUCCCAGAAUAUCACAAUAUUACCCAGUAAAAGGAUCUGGACAUUUUAGUCUUUAAACUCUUGAAACCUACUGCAAAAUGAAAUGUGUAAACAGUUUGAAGUCUAUGAAAGUGCCUAUUCCAUUACCUCUACAGCAGACCUGGGUAUUGGCAUAAAAAAAAAAAAAAACCUUCUAUAAUAUUGUGGGACUCAAACCUGUGCAUUUAUAGUAUAAAUUCUAUCAAUUAAUUUCCACUUAUCCAAUUACUAAUCUGCUUCACCAUUUCUUCAGUAAAGAACUGAGAAUUGAAAGGCUGAGUUAAUGUAACUGGUUGUCCUCUCUGGAUAGCUCCAUCUCUGAUUUGUGGAUGAGCUGUCAACUGUGUCCAUACAAACAUAUUCAAUCCAGUUAUCUUUGUCAUUAUAGAAGUAUAUAAUUUAGGGGCUGCGAUUGGGGCUCAGCAGUAGAGCACUCACCUAGCAUGUGAGAGGCCCUGGGUUCGAUCCUCAGCACCACAUAUGAAUAAAUAAAUUAAAUAAAGGUAUUGUGUCCAAUUACAACUAAAAAAAAUUCAAGUAUAUAAUUUAAUGUUAUAUAAAACAUUAAAAAUGAACUUAAGGGUUCCCCCCCGCUUUGCAGGGCUGGGGAUCAAAUCCAGGGCCCCACCUAUGCUAAGUAAGCACUCUACUACUGAGCUACACUCCUAGUCCUCAAACAAGUUCAUAUGAAAAGAAAGUUGAACAUUUUAUAGAACUCUCCAAGACAAAUGGCUCAUAUAAAUUGCUGCUGAGUUAGAUGUGAAAAUCAUAUGUAAAUCAGGAGGAAAGCAUAACAGUAUGGAUUCGGCACUCAGAAUCCUUUGUAAAUGCUUUAAAUUUAUGCUCCACUUUAAAGAAACCAGAAUUGGGGGCUGGGGUUGUGGCUCAGAGGUAAAGCGCUCACCUAGCAUGCAUGAGGCACUGGGUUUGAUCUUCAGCACCACAAAAAAAAUAAAGGGUUAAAAUAUAAAAGGUAAAAAUAAAGGUGUUGUGUCCACCUACAACUAAAAAAUAUUGAGAGAGAGAGAGAGAGAGAGAGAGAGAGAGAGAGAGAGAGAGAGACCAGAAUUGGAAACCUUCUAUCAGUGGUUCUCAAUAGGGCAGUACUGACCCCUAGGGGUUAUUAUGGAAACUUGGACAUUUUCAGUUGGUUUCACUACUGGUUUCUGGUGAAUUGUGAGCAGGGAUUUUGGACAUCCAGCAAUAGCCUGCACAGUCUUGGGAAGUCCCACUGAAUAUAGAAAACAACACAACCCUAUUUCUUCUUCUCAAGGAGUUGAAGUACAAUUCCCCCAUACGUGUGGGCUUCCUUUCAAAGAGUACAGAAAGGAGAUGGAUGUGUUGGAGAAACUUAACAAGCAUCACCUCAUCCAUAACUUCCCCCCAAAUUCUUUGGGGCUUUGGGGAGGUAAUUAGGCUAUGAGGGCAGAGCCUUCCUGAAUGGUGUUUUGUUACUGGGGAUUGAACUCAGGGGCACUCAACCACUGAGCCACAUUCCCAGCCCUAUUUUGCAUUUUAUUUUAGAGACAUGAUCUGAGUUGCUUAGCGCCUCGCUGGUUGCUGAGACUGGCUUUGAACUCAUAAUCCCCUUGCCUCCACAUCCCAAGCCAAAGGGAAUAGUGUUCUUGUUUUUAAAUUUUUUUUGGUUGCAGUUGACACAAUACCUUUAUUUUAUUUAUUUAUUUUUAUGUGGUGCUGAGGAUCGAACCCAGGCCCUCGCAGUCUAGGCUAGCCACAACCCCAGCCCAGGAAUAGUGUUCUUUUAAAAGUCAUAAGAGAUUUCUCUUGGCAGUGUGAAGACACAGCAAGAAGUUGCCUAUCUACAAGCCAGGAAAGGGAUCCUCACCUAGCCCUGGGUCUGCUUGCUGGUGCUUUAUCAUGGACCUCUCAGCCUCCUAAACUGUGAGAAAUAAAUGUUUGUUGUUUAAGCCUUC